GCUAAACGCGAAGAACCUUACCUGGCCUUGACAUCCAUGGAAUCCCGAAGAGAUUCGGGAGUGCCGCAAGGAACCAUGAGACAGGUGCUGCAUGGCUGUCGUCAGCUCGUGUCGUGAGAUGUUGGGUUAAGUCCCGCAACGAGCGCAACCCUUGUCCUUAGUUGCCAUCAUUAAGUUGGGAACUCUAAGGAGACCGCCGGUGACAAACCGGAGGAAGGUGGGGAUGACGUCAAGUCAUCAUGGCCUUUAUGGCCAGGGCUACACACGUGCUACAAUGGCAGGUACAGAGGGAAGCCAACCGGCGACGGGGAGCUAAUCCCAGAAAGCCUGUCUUAGUCCGGAUUGCAGUCUGCAACUCGACUGCAUGAAAUUGGAAUCGCUAGUAAUCGCAGAUCAGCAUUGCUGCGGUGAAUACGUUCCCGGGUCUUGUACACACCG
Molecule: ribosomal RNA, 438 nt
Filed under: uncultured bacterium
Lineage: Bacteria
Description: bacterial SSU rRNA
Rfam family: Bacterial small subunit ribosomal RNA
Source: RNAcentral